Molecule: ribosomal RNA, 1335 nt
Filed under: uncultured bacterium
Lineage: Bacteria
Description: bacterial SSU rRNA
Rfam family: Bacterial small subunit ribosomal RNA
Source: RNAcentral
GGAUGAACGUUGGCGGCGUGCCUAAUACAUGCAAGUCGAACGAAGACUGUAGUAAUACUGUCUUAGUGGCGAACGGGUGAGUAACGCGUGGGUGACCUGCCCCGAAGUGUGGGAUAACAGUCCGAAAGGAUUGCUAAUACUGCAUAAUAUCCAAGAGAUUAGAUGCUUUUGGAUUAAAGGAGUAAUUCGCUUCGGGAGGGGCCCGCGUCCCAUCAGCUAGUUGGUAAGGUAAUGGCUUACCAAGGCGAUGACGGGUAGGGGACCUGAGAGGGUGGCCCCCCACAAUGGAACUGAAACACGGUCCAUACACCUACGGGUGGCAGCAGUAGGGAAUAUUAGUAAUGGGCGAAAGCCUGAACUAGCAACGCCGCGUGUGCGAAGAAGGCCUUCGGGUCGUAAAGCACUUUUUGAGAGGAUGAGGAAGGACGGUACUCUCAGAAUAAGUCUCGGCUAACUACGUGCCAGCAGCCGCGGUAACACGUAGGAGGCAAACGUUAUCCGGAUUUACUGGGCGUAAAGCGCGUGUAGGUGGUUUGGUAAGUAGGGCGUGAAAGCUCCUGGCUCAACUGGGAGAGGACGUUCUAAACUGCCAAGCUUGAGGAUGGUAGAGGGAGGUGGAAUUCCGGGUGUAGCGGUGGAAUGCGCAGAUAUCCGGAGGAACACCAGUGGCGAAGGCGGCCUCCUGGACCACUCCUGACACUCAGACGCGAAAGCUAGGGUAGCAAACGGGAUUAGAGACCCCGGUAGUCCUAGCCCUAAACGAUGUAGACNNGGCGUCGGUGGUUUAAUCGCCAUCGGUGUCGUAGCUAACGCGAUAAGUCUACCGCCUGGGGACUACGGCCGCAAGGUUAAAACUCAAAGGAAUUGACGGGGACCCGCACAAGCGGUGGAGCAUGUGGUUUAAUUCGAUGCAACGCGAAGAACCUUACCUGGUCUUGACAUCCCAGGAAUCCUGCAGAGAUGCGGGAGUGCCUUCGGGAACCUGGAGACAGGUGCUGCAUGGCUGUCGUCAGCUCGUGUCGUGAGAUGUUGGGUUAAGUCCCGCAACGAGCGCAACCCUUGCCCUUAGUUGCCAUCAUUUAGUUGGGAACUCUAAGGGGACCGCCGGUGACAAACCGGAGGAAGGUGGGGAUGACGUCAAGUCAUCAUGGCCCUUAUGACCAGGGCUACACACGUGCUACAAUGGUCGGUACAGAGGGUCGCCAACCCGCGAGGGGGAGCCAAUCCCUUAAAGCCGAUCGUAGUCCGGAUCGCAGUCUGCAACUCGACUGCGUGAAGUCGGAAUCGCUAGUAAUCGCGAAUCAGCCAUGUCGCGGUGAAUACGUUCCCGGGUCU